GACGAACGCUGGCGGCGUGCUUAACACAUGCAAGUCGAACGGAAAGGCCUGCAGCUUGCUGCGGGUACUCGAGUGGCGAACGGGUGAGUAACACGUGGGUGAUCUGCCUUGCACUUCGGGAUAAGCUUGGGAAACUGGGUCUAAUACCGGAUAGGACAGCUGUUUAGUGUCAGUUGUGGAAAGUUUUUUCGGUGCAAGAUGAGCUCGCGGCCUAUCAGCUUGUUGGUGGGGUAAUGGCCUACCAAGGCGUCGACGGGUAGCCGGCCUGAGAGGGUGUACGGCCACAUUGGGACUGAGAUACGGCCCAGACUCCUACGGGAGGCAGCAGUGGGGAAUAUUGCACAAUGGGCGGAAGCCUGAUGCAGCGACGCCGCGUGGGGGAUGAAGGCCUUCGGGUUGUAAACUCCUUUCGACAGGGACGAAGCUUUUGUGACGGUACCUGUAGAGGAAGCACCGGCUAACUACGUG
RNAcentral lists this ribosomal RNA (468 nucleotides) under uncultured bacterium. RNAcentral's name for it is "partial 16S ribosomal RNA". It matches the Rfam family "Bacterial small subunit ribosomal RNA", at positions 28 to 507 of the family's 1533-position model. The record is from RNAcentral.